GCGGUUCAGCAGGACCACAAACAACCAGAUGCUUUCCCUGAAGAAUAAGAAGGCCGUCCAGAAGAGUGCGGCGGUGAAGUUCAUAAACCAGGACUGGGGAUUAGAAGAGAAAAGAAAAGCCGAGAAGUUCAAGCAGCGAUGGAUUCAAAAGACGACGAAGACACAAAGCUGAGAAGAACGCGAGGCGAGUCGCUAAACUGUGGAGUGGAAGGCAGAGAUGGCAAAUUCCAAGGUGAUGUCACGGAAGUGAAUUGUACCUGCUGAGGUGUCGAGGUUUAGGGCACACUUGGGGUACCAUAAUUGAAAGGUAUGCAGGUUUGAGGGGCCAUCGUUGGUGAAAUGACACGAGAUGAACAUUUGUGACGACCCAGUAAACGUUAUACGAGUAUUUAAGGCUGUCGAUCCUUGAUGGAUCUUUACAGCUGCUGUUUUUGUGGCCAAAUGCUGAGCCACCACAAGUUGAUUUUUUAAUAAAUUUGAAAGUUUGGAUCUCAAA
Long non-coding RNA from Polypterus senegalus (gray bichir), 496 nucleotides. RefSeq lists it as uncharacterized. Lineage: Eukaryota; Metazoa; Chordata; Cladistia; Polypteriformes; Polypteridae. The record is from RefSeq and is a predicted model, not a curated record. The transcript has 3 exons.